This 747-nucleotide ribosomal RNA is filed under the name Shigella sonnei. Its description in RNAcentral is "partial 23S ribosomal RNA". It matches the Rfam family "Bacterial large subunit ribosomal RNA", at positions 2180 to 2925 of the family's 2925-position model. The record is from RNAcentral. Lineage: Bacteria; Pseudomonadati; Pseudomonadota; Gammaproteobacteria; Enterobacterales; Enterobacteriaceae.
AUGGAGCCGGCCUUGAAAUACCACCCUUUAAUGUUUGAUGUUCUAACGUGGACCCGUGAUCCGGGUUGCGGACAGUGUCUGGUGGGUAGUUUGACUGGGGCGGUCUCCUCCUAAAGAGUAACGGAGGAGCACGAAGGUUGGCUAAUCCUGGUCGGACAUCAGGAGGUUAGUGCAAUGGCAUAAGCCAGCUUGACUGCGAGCGUGACGGCGCGAGCAGGUGCGAAAGCAGGUCAUAGUGAUCCGGUGGUUCUGAAUGGAAGGGCCAUCGCUCAACGGAUAAAAGGUACUCCGGGGAUAACAGGCUGAUACCGCCCAAGAGUUCAUAUCGACGGCGGUGUUUGGCACCUCGAUGUCGGCUCAUCACAUCCUGGGGCUGAAGUAGGUCCCAAGGGUAUGGCUGUUCGCCAUUUAAAGUGGUACGCGAGCUGGGUUUAGAACGUCGUGAGACAGUUCGGUCCCUAUCUGCCGUGGGCGCUGGAGAACUGAGGGGGGCUGCUCCUAGUACGAGAGGACCGGAGUGGACGCAUCACUGGUGUUCGGGUUGUCAUGCCAAUGGCACUGCCCGGUAGCUAAAUGCGGAAGAGAUAAGUGCUGAAAGCAUCUAAGCACGAAACUUGCCCCGAGAUGAGUUCUCCCUGACCCUUUAAGGGUCCUGAAGGAACGUUGAAGACGACGACGUUGAUAGGCCGGGUGUGUAAGCGCAGCGAUGCGUUGAGCUAACCGGUACUAAUGAACCGUGAGGCUUAA